Long non-coding RNA from Physeter macrocephalus (sperm whale), 1404 nucleotides. RefSeq lists it as uncharacterized. The transcript has 4 exons. Lineage: Eukaryota; Metazoa; Chordata; Mammalia; Artiodactyla; Physeteridae. The record is from RefSeq and is a predicted model, not a curated record.
AUCAAAGACUUUGACUCUGCUGUCAGUGUCCCGUCAGGAUCAAGAAACCAAAGGCAUUGGAGCCAAAGCCAAUCUCUAACAUCUGCUCAGCAUCACCAAGCAGAAGAGUAGAGGAAACCCCCUACGAGUGCACAGAGCAGACAUGCCUGACACCCGUCUCCCCGCCUCACCAUGUGAUGCCGGGACGCCGAGGGACGAGGCAGGGAAGACCCAGAAGCGUCACCACGGAAACGAGGUUCUCCCACGCUGUAGCCUGUGUCAGUGCUUCACUCCUUUUGUGGCUGAGUAACAUACAGUUGUAUGGGGCACCGUUCAUCACAGAGGGAUGCCGGCUGCUGUGCAUCUGCUGCCACAAACACUCAGGUUAAAGCUUUGGUGUGAAGCCCAGCUUGUAUCACUAAACAAACUCAUUUGAGAAAACAAUUGACUUUGAACUCAGCAAGCCUCCAGCUGCUUCAGACCAAUUUGGGCACGUGGAUCCCAGGUUCCUGGGGAGACCCCGCCGGGGGACCCAGUACUGACGCCCUCGACGCCCACAGCUUCAUCAUAUACAACGGUCAAAAUUAGCAAAAAGACAACCUGCAGACUGGGGGGAAAUAUUUGCAAAUAGCCAACCAAGGAUCAUAUCUGGAAUAUGUAAAGAAUACUCAGAAUUCAACAGUGAAAAACUAAUAAUCCAGUUACAAAAUGGGCCAAAGAUGUGAAGAGACAUUUCAGCAAGGAGGACACGUGGGUGGGAAACAAGCCCCGGCGGGGAUGCUGGACGUCACACAUUGUCAGGGAGACGCAAACAGAGCACCCAACGGACUCUCACCGCACCCACCAGAGGGGCUGCGUCGGGAGCAAUGACAACACCAAGUGCCGGUGAGGAUGUGGAAAAGCUGGACCAUCGCCCACUGCUGGGGGCGGGGCGGCGGGGGGGAUGGAAAAUGAGCAGCCACCUGGAGAAACCGCCAGGCUGUCUUACAGCCCAGCAACCGGCCUCCUGGGCUUAUCCCAGAGCAAUGGAGACCCAUCCACACUUACCUGGACACACACCUUGACCUGCAAUAGCCAAGCCAGGAAAGACCAAAAUCUCCUGCAACAGGUGAAAGGCUAAACAGACGUACAGACCAAACACAGCCAAACCGUGGACUAGACUUGGCCGUAGGAAGCACCAGCAACCAGGCAGCACAUGGACGGAUCGCCCGGGCCCCAGCCCGAGGGAAGGAAGCCGGUCCCAGGUCACACGCAGUACAUUGCCAUUCAUAGGACGUUCUUGACAUGACAAACUACAGAGAACAGACUUGUGGCUGCAGGGGUGAGCAAUACUGCGGGCGAGGUGACGGUAAAGGGCCACAGGAGGAAGCCUCUGUGACGGCACAGACCUGCACCUGCGGGUCCAGGGUCCACGCACGUGAUGGA